GCUUCACGAAUUGAGCCGUCAUCUUCCUGACUUACUUCCAAAUAUGGAAAUGACUGAAGAGGAAUUUAUGAACACCGAUUUUGGGGCAAUAGCCGCCGCCCUAUAGAGAUUAUAGUACUCCUCGACCAGUCAAUCGCGAUGAGGCCCCAAUAAUUCCAGUAAUUCCAUUACCUAUCUUAGGACUCCAACUGAAGUACCAUGUUGUCCUGAUGCUGAUCGCUAUUUGCAAUGGAUCAAUAAAGAAGAAGAACAUAAACAGGAUGAUUCACCCUCUAACGCGAUGUCGUUGAUGUCUUUGCCGUGGACCAGAAUCUGGAAGGUUUCAAAAAUCAAUCAAGUCCGAGAAAUCGAAGGGGUCGUCAUUGAUGAGAGUAAAGUCGAAAAAGCGAAAAAAUAUACUCACCAUGAUCGUUAUGAGAAUAAGGAGGAGGAUAUCGAUUAAAAAAAGGAGAAGCAUUUCGCAUAAUUAUCUCUCACGCAGAUCGGCUUUGUUACGCGUUUUAUUUUAUAUAGUCAUACCCAAAGAAUUAUUUUGUUUUUUUUUAGUAUUUGGUUGAAGUUAAUUUUUUGAGACAAAAUUCGUAUAAAUUAUAUUGUGAAAAUCCA
Molecule: long non-coding RNA, 606 nt
Organism: Drosophila willistoni
Lineage: Eukaryota; Metazoa; Arthropoda; Insecta; Diptera; Drosophilidae
Exons: 2
Source: RefSeq, a predicted model, not a curated record